Molecule: ribosomal RNA, 545 nt
Filed under: uncultured bacterium
Lineage: Bacteria
Description: bacterial SSU rRNA
Rfam family: Bacterial small subunit ribosomal RNA
Source: RNAcentral
AAUAGAUACCCCGGUAGUCCACGCCGUAAACGAUGGGUACUAGGUGUAGGGGGUAUCGACUCCCCCUGUGCCGCCGUUAACACAAUAAGUACCCCGCCUGGGGAGUACGGUCGCAAGAUUAAAACUCAAAGGAAUUGACGGGGGCCCGCACAAGCAGCGGAGCAUGUGGUUUAAUUCGAAGCAACGCGAAGAACCUUACCUAGACUUGACAUCUCCUGCAUUACUCUUAAUCGAGGAAGUUCUCCCUUCGGGGAGGACAGGAAGACAGGUGGUGCAUGGUUGUCGUCAGCUCGUGUCGUGAGAUGUUGGGUUAAGUCCCGCAACGAGCGCAACCCUUAUUGUUAGUUGCUACCAUUUAGUUGAGCACUCUAGCAAGACUGCCGUGGUUAACGCGGAGGAAGGUGGGGAUGACGUCAAAUCAUCAUGCCCCUUAUGUCUAGGGCUACACACGUGCUACAAUGGCGAGUACAAAGAGACGCAAAAGCCGCGAGGUGGAGCAAAACUUAUAAAACUACGUCUCAGUUCGGAUUGCAGGCUGAAACUCG